UCCGAUAUGGUGUAGUGGUUAACAUCGUUCGCUCUCAUUCGAAUUCUCUAGAGUUCAAUCAGUGCCGAACAGCCCCGGGUUCGAUUCCCGGUGUCGGAA
The sequence is a transfer RNA, 99 nucleotides long. It matches the Rfam family "tRNA". Rfam says of the family: Transfer RNA (tRNA) molecules are approximately 80 nucleotides in length. Their secondary structure includes four short double-helical elements and three loops (D, anti-codon, and T loops). Further hydrogen bonds mediate the characteristic L-shaped molecular structure. tRNAs have two regions of fundamental functional importance: the anti-codon, which is responsible for specific mRNA codon recognition, and the 3' end, to which the tRNAs corresponding amino acid is attached (by aminoacyl-tRNA synthetases). tRNAs cope with the degeneracy of the genetic code in two manners: having more than one tRNA (with a specific anti-codon) for a particular amino acid; and 'wobble' base-pairing, i.e. permitting non-standard base-pairing at the 3rd anti-codon position.